Ceratotherium simum simum (southern white rhinoceros) is the source of this 419-nucleotide non-coding RNA. The record is from RefSeq and is a predicted model, not a curated record. NCBI's taxonomy places the organism in Eukaryota, Metazoa, Chordata, Mammalia, Perissodactyla, Rhinocerotidae.
UCUAUCCUCUGCGCUCUAACAGAAAUACACAUAGUGCUCAGGAGAUGUUGUGAAGUGAACACGUGGGGCAUUCUGACAGCACAGGCAGAGCCUCUUCCCUGUGCCACUUGAUCAACCAAUCAACAUACAGCAAGGCUUUCCAGCAUGUCACAGGCCCCACCAUGCCCUAUUGUGUGCCAUCAGGCUUGCAUCCCUCGUUUAUGUUAUCUGCCUGGCCCUUGAAGCAAGCCCUGGAUCCUGACCAGCCCCGAGCGUAGAGGUGACUUGAACAAGGUCCCUGCUCACAGGCACCCACAGUAUGAGAUGUGAAUGCGAGAUACUGUGGGCCCGGCCAGGUGGCUGGCCCCUUUGCAGGUGCCUCAUAGCACACCCCCUCUUGUUUUUCUGCAUGUUGGUGGCGUGUGUGUGUGUGUGUUUGU